CAUUAACUGUGACCCAUUCCUGUUACAAGGCUACUCAAACAAUUUGUCACAAUGUCCGGAAAUUGGAAUAUAUGACGUAUUUAAUUACUUGGUGUCGUUCAGGCCCGAUUAUGACAGAAGGAAGCUUCGCGCCUACAAGUCUUUUCAAGACUAUCGCUUGUUUGCUGAUGGGCAUGUCAACAGUGUGGAGUAUGCUGAUGCUACUGACACAAUUGGAAUUUUUAAAGCGUCUGUGAAGCCAACACAACGGGACAAGACCUACCUAAAGUCCGAGUUCUACAACCUAUGGAUUGCUGUGGAAAAAAAUAAUGUUGACAUUAAGAGCGCUUACUGUCAGUGUCCAGGAGGAUCUGAUGGAGCCUGCAGACAUAUAGCAGCAACACUUUUUGACAUUGAAGCUUUUGAGAAAAAGAGCGUCACUGAUGGCCCAUCCCUAUGGACCAAGCGACCAAGAAGUCAUGAUGAGCCUGUGCCACUGCGUCACCUAAAAGUCAAGAAAAUCAGCUAUGGACAAACA
Long non-coding RNA from Haliotis rubra (blacklip abalone), 517 nucleotides. RefSeq lists it as uncharacterized. NCBI's taxonomy places the organism in Eukaryota, Metazoa, Mollusca, Gastropoda, Lepetellida, Haliotidae. The record is from RefSeq and is a predicted model, not a curated record. The transcript has 3 exons.